CCUACGGGGGGCAGCAGUGGGGAAGAUUGCGCAAUGGGCGAAAGCCUGACGCAGCGACGCCGCGUGAGGGAUGAAGGUCUUCGGAUCGUAAACCUCUGUCAGCAGGGAAGAACGGUCACGGUGCUAAGCAGCAGUGAAUUGACGGUACCGACAAAGGAAGCACCGGCUAACGCGGUGCCAGCAGCCGCGGUAAGACGGAGGGUGCGAGCGUUCAUCGGAAUUACGGGGCGUCAAGCGCGCGUAGGCGGUAUGUCAAGUCAAGGGUGAAAUCCCCGCGCUCAACGUGGGAACUGCCUUUGAUACUUGCAACCUGGAGUGUGUGAGAGUAUAGUGGAAUUCCAGGUGUCGGCGU
Molecule: ribosomal RNA, 352 nt
Filed under: uncultured bacterium
Lineage: Bacteria
Description: partial 16S ribosomal RNA
Rfam family: Bacterial small subunit ribosomal RNA
Source: RNAcentral